This 19-nucleotide microRNA is filed under the name Capra hircus (goat). RNAcentral's name for it is "chi-miR-2404". Lineage: Eukaryota; Metazoa; Chordata; Mammalia; Artiodactyla; Bovidae. The record is from miRBase by way of RNAcentral.
UUGCACUGCAUGGUAUCUG